This 466-nucleotide ribosomal RNA is filed under the name uncultured bacterium. RNAcentral's name for it is "partial 16S ribosomal RNA". It matches the Rfam family "Bacterial small subunit ribosomal RNA", at positions 28 to 507 of the family's 1533-position model. The record is from RNAcentral.
GAUGAACGCUGGCGGCGUGCUUAACACAUGCAAGUCGAACGAUGAAGCCCAGCUUGCUGGGUGGAUUAGUGGCGAACGGGUGAGUAACACGUGAGUAACCUGCCCUUGACUCUGGGAUAAGCCCGGGAAUCUGGGUCUAAUACCGGAUAGGAGCGCCUGUCGCAUGACGGGUGUUGGAAAGAUUUUUCGGUCAUGGAUGGACUCGCGGCCUAUCAGCUUGUUGGUGAGGUAAUGGCUCACCAAGGCGACGACGGGUAGCCGGCCUGAGAGGGUGACCGGCCACACUGGGACUGAGACACGGCCCAGACUCCUACGGGAGGCAGCAGUGGGGAAUAUUGCACAAUGGGCGGAAGCCUGAUGCAGCGACGCCGCGUGAGGGAUGACGGCCUUCGGGUUGUAAACCUCUUUCAGUAGGGAAGAAGCGAAAGUGACGGUACCUGCAGAAGAAGCACCGGCUAACUACGUG